AGGAUUACAAUCACUAAUGCCUAUAUAAUGCCGUAAUAUGGUCGGCGAGUUUCUACCCAGAGCCGUAAACUCUGGACUAUAAGCAAAUCGAUGAUUCCC
RNAcentral lists this non-coding RNA (99 nucleotides) under Limosilactobacillus frumenti. RNAcentral's name for it is "Lactobacillus frumenti Guanine sequence". It matches the Rfam family "Purine riboswitch aptamer". Rfam says of the family: Riboswitches are metabolite binding domains within certain messenger RNAs that serve as precision sensors for their corresponding targets. Allosteric rearrangement of mRNA structure is mediated by ligand binding, and this results in modulation of gene expression. The record is from RNAcentral. RNAcentral also lists the same sequence under 1 other name. Lineage: Bacteria; Bacillati; Bacillota; Bacilli; Lactobacillales; Lactobacillaceae.